This 211-nucleotide ribosomal RNA is filed under the name uncultured bacterium. Its description in RNAcentral is "partial 16S ribosomal RNA". It matches the Rfam family "Bacterial small subunit ribosomal RNA", at positions 568 to 775 of the family's 1533-position model. The record is from RNAcentral.
CGCGUAGGCGGUUGGAUAAGUCAGCUGUGAAAACCACGGGCUUAACUCGUGGCCUGCAGUUGAGACUGUCUGGCUUGAGUGUGGGAGAGGAGAGUGGAAUUCCUGGUGUAGCGGUGAAAUGCGUAGAUAUCAGGAGGAACACCGGUGGCGAAGGCGGCUCUCUGGACCACAACUGACGCUGGAGGCGCGAAAGGCUAGGGGAAGCAAAACA